GCAACUUUGGUCUAAUGGUUAGGAUCCAAGCCUUCCAAGCUUGGGGUCGGGGUUCGAUUCCCCGGAGUUGCA
Molecule: transfer RNA, 72 nt
Organism: Pseudomassariella vexata
Lineage: Eukaryota; Fungi; Ascomycota; Sordariomycetes; Amphisphaeriales; Pseudomassariaceae
Rfam family: tRNA
About the family: Transfer RNA (tRNA) molecules are approximately 80 nucleotides in length.
Source: Rfam